GAUGAAGAACGCAGCGAAAUGCGAUACGUAAUGUGAAUUGCAGAAUUCAGUGAAUCAUCGAAUCUUUGAACGCACAUUGCGCCUGCCAGCACUCUGGCAGGCAUGCCUGUUCGAGCGUCAUUUCAACCAUCAAGCCCUAGGCUUGCGUUGGAGCCCUGCGGCUGCCGCAGGCCCCUAAAAGCAGUGGCGGGCUCGCUAUCACACCGAGUGCAGUAGAUUACUCUUCGCUCAGGGCGUGUGGCGGGUUCCAGCCGUGAAACCCCCUACUUCUCAAGGUUGACCUCGGAUCAGGUAGGAAUACCCGCUGAACUUAAGCAUACAAUAAGCGGAGGA
Molecule: unclassified non-coding RNA, 333 nt
Filed under: soil metagenome
Description: partial contains 5.8S ribosomal RNA, internal transcribed spacer 2, and large subunit ribosomal RNA
Rfam family: 5.8S ribosomal RNA (bases 1-120)
Source: RNAcentral